GGAAGAACCCCGUUUCGGGCUCAGGGAAAUGAAGAGAGAAGGCAGGUAGAUGGGCAGUCUGCAGCCUGGGGCCGUCCUCCGGCCAGGAAUGGUCCCCAGCAGGGAGCCGCCGUGGAGGGCGGGAAGCCGCGGGGCUGCAGCCUGAGGGGGGGGUGGGGAGGGACGGAGGAGGGUCCCGCGCUCUCGGCCUCCUGGUUCCCCUCCCUCCCCUUCUCAGGUUCCUCUGGCCUCGCCCCUCCCUCUCGCAUUCCCAACUCCCAAGGACAACUUGUCGCUCGCCUCAGACGCCCGCCAGGGGCUUGUACCGGUGCCCCAGACUCUGCUGGCUCCCCGGCUUCUUUUGUCUAUUUCUGCAUUGGACGGUUCUCCUGGCUCCGCGUUCCGUGGUUCUGCUUCUCAUCUCUCUCUCUCUCUUUCUCUCUCUCUCUCUCUCUCUCUCUCUCACACACACACACACACACACACACCCUUCUCUCUCCCGCCCACCUCGGCGCGUUCCUCCUCGGCUCUGGCCUUGCCCAAGCGCGCAAGGCCCACCCUCGGAAUCGCCUGCCCGCCCUCCGGCGCGGUGAUCCGACGGCGCCCGGGGCGGGGGCAGGUGAGGUGGCGGGGAGCCCCGCCCGGGCCGACGCGGAGGACCGAAGCGGCCGCGCCAAUCCGCCGCCCAGGCCCUGUCCUCGCCCCCUCCCCGCGCCGGCGCCAGGGGGACGCAGGACGCGUGAGCCCCUUCGCGCCCCCAGCGCCGUCGGCGGCGCCGCCCUAGACGCAGACACUGCCCCAAGAGGCCUCAAAGGGGCAGGGGCGGGAGGAGCGGCGACUUCGAGCCCCCACGCCCCUCGCCCCGGGCGCCGCCACCUCCGUCUCCAGGCGCCUGGGUUCCUGCAGGCUGUGAAGAAGCGCGGAGGACGCGCGGUUGGCAGAGAGGGCGCCCACGGCGACGCGCCGGCGGCCAGCGCCAGGCCGAGCCCAGUGCGCCUGCAGGACCCGGCCCCUUCUCCCGGCGCGGGACGCGGAGCUGCGCGAAGGAGGGGAUGUAAACCGUUUGAAGUUCAUCAGCACGGUGAAGUUUUAUUGUAUUUCCGGUCCCCAAGAUUUAUACCCGGGAGGGGGCGCGGGAGGCCUAGCGGACUCCCUCGUUACCUCGGACUUCCGUGUCGGACACGUGGACACUCGCCUCCCGGGCGAGGGAGGGAGGGAGCCGGCGGGACCCGGACAGGAACGCGGGCUCGGCACCUUGUGACUGCCACCGCCGCCCAGAGAUCCUGGAUCAGAAGAAAUACCUCAAGGUACUUGGGAACAUAGAUCGGGGACGUUGCUAAUUAUGUCGUCCACCGCAGUGUCGUCGUGUGACUUUCACAGUUACCUGAGUGCUUUUAAGCUCAGCCCAGGCCAUCUCUGCCCACCUCAUCUUCACACUUGAGUAGGACACAUGUAUGGACAAGUACCAGUGCCUCCAGCCCCAUGCCCAUCACCGCCUUAAAAAUCAGCAUCCCACAGCACACACUGGCCCUGCAGUGUCGGGUAAGAUAACACAGAAAAGGAUUUUGUGCUCGAACAAAGAAGUCACAACAUUUCAUGACUUCUAGGAAAACAGGCAUUUUCUUCGACCUUCUCGAGGAGUGAUUUGGAAGGAAGUUUGCGAUAGAAACCUGCCUUAAAUCACGGGCAUUCGUGGGAAAAGGCUGCAGACAUUUUGCUUGAAUAUCAAGUUGAGAGGCAGGUUUUCAACAGAGGCUUUGGAAUCAGCUGAUAUUUUAUAGCCACAAUUCACGUACACAAAUAUCAAGUUUUUUGCUUUCUCCAUGGUUGUACGAUGGUUUUAACAAGGUACGCACAAGCUUUGGGGUCGUAGAUCUUCUUAUAAGAGAAGAAUCGUUAACCCACAUCACUCACAGGGGUGAUACACGCAUCCCCAUAAGCACAAUUAGCGCCUAUAUACAAAUACCCAGAUACAGCUAGUAUUAUACUUGGGCAGAUUUAUUUAUCGCAUAUUCUAUACACAGAAUACAGCCCAGCACUUUGCACACAGGGUUCCCCAUACAGAAAUACUGACUUGAAAUCUACAUAUAGGAUGCAGACAUCUAUACCAAUGCGGCAUACGGAAAACUCAGUUUAGCUUAUUCAUUAAAAACAAACUAUUUUUCCCUUUUCUCAUUUACUGUUUUUCUUUUCUUCUUUCCACUCCGAUUUCCUUCCCUCCCUCUAGAUUUUCUGUCUCUUCUAACUGACAAGCAUCCUUUCCCAAGCCAUCUUCCAAGCUCCAGUACUCACCGCCUGCUUCCGGCCAGGGUCAGCCUCUGCUCUUCCAACCCCGGCCUCGCUCUUGGCUGCUCUGGGCCCCAGUGUGGCCAGGGGCUGCCGGGUUCUCUGCCUGCCCUCCCCCAAGCCACCAGCUCCAGCCUCAGCUGUGUUCGGGGAGGCUCCAGGAAAGGGAAUGACAAGAGGCUGCGAGAAGGCAGGGUUUUUUCCUUCUUUCUCUUAGGGAUGGGGGUGGGGUGCCAGCACUUUUGCUCUCUCCGGACAAAGUGACCCCCACUAAAGCAAACCCCCCCCCCGUUAAGUGUUUUUCGAAGCUGGGCUCCAGGGGCCACAGUCCUGUUUGGGCUCCUCUGUCAUGGGGGCUACCAUGGUCUGGUGGAGAAAACAAAAUUGCUGUUGUUUGGGGAGUGGGGUGAGUCCUACAGGUUCUCAGAGCAUCCAAGCAAGGGCACCCUCUUAGCUGACCCUCCAUCAUUCUCCUCAGCUGGAGUUGAACUCCAAUUUGGACUAGCAGAGCUUUCUGGCAAGUUGGCUGAGGUGGGACCUACUGCUUGCAGCACCCACGGGCUCACCUGGAUGGAGGUGAGCCGGGGUGCAGACUCCAGGGCUUGGGAGUCAUUGUGUUCCCUCUGAACCCACCAAGGCCUCCCCAAACUGCCAUUUUGAAGUUGUCCCCACUGUCCAGCUUCUUUGAGAGCCAACGCCUGAGCCCUAGUCUCAGUAAAGAGACCUGGGGCCUCUCACCCAGCUCCCAGCAGCCGCCGGGGAUUGGGGGUGAUUUCCCCAGGCAGCAUCAACCCCCAGAUCUGGACUGUGCUGGGACGCAGAGCACAAGCAGCCAGGAGCCGCACUGUUCUUCCUCUCACUUCUUUUCUCAACUAAGUGGCCCUCCUGCCUCCUCUUCGCUCACUAGCAAAAGGCAGGGCUGGCGAAUGGGAACCAGGAGGGCGGCCGUCAGAGCCCAGUGCCUGCACAGCUCGGGCCAUAAGAGCAGCCCAGCCCUCUGACUUCUCCAUAAAUAAAACAGCCCUAGCCCCCA
This 3298-nucleotide long non-coding RNA is filed under the name Oryctolagus cuniculus (rabbit). RNAcentral's name for it is "lncRNA (ENSOCUG00000032461.1)". Lineage: Eukaryota; Metazoa; Chordata; Mammalia; Lagomorpha; Leporidae. The record is from RNAcentral.